This 31-nucleotide non-coding RNA is filed under the name Macaca fascicularis (crab-eating macaque). RNAcentral also lists the same sequence under 1 other name. The record is from RNAcentral. Lineage: Eukaryota; Metazoa; Chordata; Mammalia; Primates; Cercopithecidae.
UAUGAGCUAAACCCAUCAGUAGUUGGUGUCU